RNAcentral lists this transfer RNA (76 nucleotides) under Escherichia coli. Its description in RNAcentral is "tRNA-Lys". It matches the Rfam family "tRNA". Rfam says of the family: Transfer RNA (tRNA) molecules are approximately 80 nucleotides in length. RNAcentral also lists the same sequence under 5 other names. The record is from RNAcentral. Lineage: Bacteria; Pseudomonadati; Pseudomonadota; Gammaproteobacteria; Enterobacterales; Enterobacteriaceae.
GUGUCGUUAGCUCAGUUGGUAGAGCAGUUGACUUUUAAUCAAUUGGUCGCAGGUUCGAAUCCUGCACGACCCACCA